GAUGAACGCUGGCGGCGUGCCUAAUACAUGCAAGUCGAGCGAACAGACGAGGAGCUUGCUCCUCUGACGUUAGCGGCUGACGGGUGAGUAACACGUGGAUAACCUACCUAUAAGACUGGGAUAACUUCGGGAAACCGGAGCUAAUACCGGAUAAUAUAUUGAACCGCAUGGUUCAAUAGUGAAAGACGGUUUUGCCGUCACUUAUAGCUGGAUCCGCGCCGCAUUAGCUAGUUGGUAAGGUAACGGCUUACCAAGGCGACGAUGCGUAGCCGACCUGAGAGGGUGAUCGGCCACACUGGAACUGAGACACGGUCCAGACUCCUACGGGAGGCAGCAGUAGGGAAUCUUCCGCAAUGGGCGAAAGCCUGACGGAGCAACGCCGCGUGGGUGAUGAAGGUCUUCGGAUCGUAAAACUCUGUUAUUAGGGAAGAACAAAUGUAUAAGUAACUAUGCACGUCUUGACGGUACCUAAUCAGAAAGCCACGGCUAACUACGUG
RNAcentral lists this ribosomal RNA (497 nucleotides) under uncultured bacterium. Its description in RNAcentral is "partial 16S ribosomal RNA". It matches the Rfam family "Bacterial small subunit ribosomal RNA", at positions 28 to 507 of the family's 1533-position model. The record is from RNAcentral.